CUUGUGUACCUUAAUGUGAUUUCUCUGCCGGCUUCGCAAAGACACAAAUGGCUUUGCAAGCGACUGUAUUUGGUGUAAUUGAAAUGCAUGUACACUCAUACUUAACCAGAGUUUUCUUUUGAAAGUAUUCUCACAUAAAAAAAAAAUAAGUCAACAUAUGGUCAUAAAGUGAUCAAAUAUAGCUGUACUCUUAAAUACAUUUUCUAAAUCACCAUAUUCUGCUUUCAGGGAGAAAUAUGAGUGGGCAAGUGGCAUCAAAAUUGGGACCUACAAAGCAAGAUUGCUCCCAGGUGGAUGAACCUGUGGUUGACCAGCAGCCCAGUGUUAAGCAACCUCAACAAGAGAAACCGCCAGCUGAGAUUCAGGAUAUCACACCUAGAAAGGAGGAAGUACAUGGAGAGGAUCCAGUGAAUCGUGAUGAAGAAGAGGAGAAGGAUCCCUUUGAAGGUAAAAUUCUGGCCUGGAAGCUGAUCUCCAGCAAUUGGCUCUGGCAAAGACUGGGGGUGAAGGUGGAGAUGGUCCUGAUGUCAGGGAGGAGUUUGCAUCAAAUACAGAGCCUGUUGAAAUGCCAGAAGCAGGUAUGUCAUCCAUUCAGAAAGUAAUUUAUGUGGUUUCUGUUUUUCAGAAUAUUAUAUCUUUACUAAUAUAGAGGGAACAUUACUAUUAUUUUAAUAAUAGAGUUCACAUAUUCUUUGAAAGAUAGUUCAGACCCCAGAUACCUGAGUGCCUGACUUACAGACUUUCAAAUAAAGAAACAGACAGGAUCA
This 767-nucleotide long non-coding RNA is filed under the name Bos indicus x Bos taurus (hybrid cattle). Its description in RNAcentral is "lncRNA (ENSBIXG00000029063.1)". Lineage: Eukaryota; Metazoa; Chordata; Mammalia; Artiodactyla; Bovidae. The record is from RNAcentral.